RNAcentral lists this non-coding RNA (97 nucleotides) under Heterosigma akashiwo. Lineage: Eukaryota; Raphidophyceae; Chattonellales; Chattonellaceae. The record is from RNAcentral.
AAAGCAAGAAAGAGAAAGAUGAAUAAUUGCAGAUAUUUUGUUUUUGUUUAAAAACUCACUUCUUCUUCAUUCUUUUCCUCUAUUGCUGUUGCUUUUA